CAGGGGUUGCCCUGUCCUCGGAAGGGGCUGAGGCCGUGACUGGGUGAGCAUCAGGUGAGCCGCAGCAGACGGUGCCUGCGCUGGGGAGCGCUGCCAGCACAAAUCUCUUAAUAGUCUUUCAGUCUCUGCGAGGCCUUAAAAUCAAUCAGAGGAUUAACUAAGCAAAGCUGUCUUUAUGAUACAUGAUCCAGCUUUGUGCAAUUGGAUCUCGCUUUGCUUGGGCCCCUCUUGGCGGGUGGGCUGCGAUCGGAGGAGCCCUGCGGGAGGGCUCGGGAGCGGAGCAGCUCCUGGGCUGCGGGGGCUCGGGGGGCUGCAGCAUGCCUGGGAGACACAGCAUGGUGCAUCUUGUCCCGUCCCUCCUGCUGGCUUCUUCUUGUAACUCAGCAUUUCUCUUGACAGAAGCUCCCUGAAGAUAAACCACCAGCCGCUUCCGAUGAGCCGCCAGCUUCGCAUGGCUUCUGUGGCACCUUCUGCCAAGGGUAUGUUGCACCUUGCCUUUCGUCUCAGCUUGUGGCACCUGGAAAUUUGGCUGUUGGGGCUGAGCUGAGGCCUGGGAGCCGCUGUACCCUUCUACUGCCACGUGCACCAGGAACCUUCCUGCCCCAAGGACCGCUGUUGGAUGUCAGCAGUGAAGGAGACAACGGGUCCCCAGUAAGUGCACGUGGUGGCUCCUGCCAGGUCGAUAUUUCAGUUCAUCUGCUGGCACCAGGCAGCAGCUCUGUUUCAAAUCAGGCUCAGGAGCAGUUAGCUUGUCCCAAAGCACUCUGCUUUCUCUCCUGCUGAGCGACACAGCGUGCUUGGAGCUGCUCCCAGACACCACCCAUGUGUGAGCACCGCCAGGUCCCCGACACCAGGGGCUGCGUUCCCCUGAGUGCUGCUGCUUCAUGGCUCCAACUGCUCCCCUUGCACCUGCUCAGCAGCAUCGGUCCCUGAGGACUGACAAAAUACCCCCAGCACCAAGCGGGCUCUGUUUUCUGGCACCAUCCUCCUCUCCCCCAGUCUCUGCCAGGCUGGCACAGCGCAGCGAGGUACGGUGCGAUGUAACACGGGGUGAAAUCUGGCUGCUGCCUCUCUCCCUGCUCACCCAAAUCCACGCUGACUUGAGAGCCACACAGCUGUGGGCCUGUCAGCCACCAGGAGUUUGGUCCAUGCAGAUUUGCUACAAGAAAAUGAGAGCUAUAAAUAACAGACACCUUGGGCCAGCACGUCAGCGCGAGGUGAUCCAUUGUCGUGCUCGAAACGUCUCCGGUUGUAUUUCAUGCUUCUGCGUGAAAGUUGCAAGGAAAGAAAAGUAGCCAGGGUAAAAGCCAAUCUUUAGUCACCUUCUGACCUAAAAAAAAAAAAAUGGAGCAGAGGGGAAGUUUUGCUGGGCUAAAACUGGGACCGGUUGGUGGCGAGGUGCUGGGGAGCGCUGUGCUGAGGGGUGCUGUAAGAAACCCUGCGUUUUGAGGAGGAAUGUGAGAAAGCUUCUUUACACUGGUUGCCCAGCAAAGGGCUGCUUUAGAUAUUAACGCAAACCAUUCCUGAGUUUUGCUGCCCUUAAAUCUUUCUGAACUGUUUCUUUUUUGCCAUACAGCUGUCCUGGCUCAUGCGAGGCGCUUCACUGCCGUGGCUGAUCCGGUGUUCUUGGGUGCAACGUCUGUCAGAAAUGAGGUGAAAUUGUUUAAUUCUCUCUUUGUUCUCACUGUUGAAGCACCUACAUACCUGGAAAACAUCCAGAAAGGACAACAAAGCUGGUCUAGGCUGUAGCAGAGCAUCCAUGCAAUGGACAGCUCGAUAGAUGGUGGUUCCUGAGCAGGAACGAGGUGCAGGACAGGACAGCAGUCUCCGAAAUUGUGAGUAGCACGAGGAAGUCACCCAGAGGUGAUUUACUCAUUGGCUCUGGUUCAUCAAACAAAAGAGGUGGCUCUUUGCACAACGUGUCAUUUAUCUGCAGAAGCCUUUGCUGCAGAGCGUUGUGGGUGUCGGAUGUUUACAUGAAUUUAGAAAAAUAAAAAUAAACCGGACGAAGCAGUGGAAGGAAAACAAAAAACACCCUAACAGCUAUUGAAUAACAAACAUCACUUCUGCCAUGGGAAAUCUCUGUAAGCUGUCAGAGUGCUGUGCAGAGGCAUCGCUGCCAGCGCUGUGCUGCCCUCCCUGUCUUCCUGGGCUGGACAGGAUCUCUCCGGUCCGACCUCCUAUAGGCAUUUGCUGUUCUGCUCCUGUGCCUCUCCUCCCCCGUGAUCUCCACUCCCUAUCACUUUUAUCUAAAACUCGCAGCUUUCGUGUUACAAUUAAGUCCCGCACUGAAUAUAUUUUUGCUUUGAGAAGAGUCCGGACAAUUCUAUGUGAAAGCGCCUUCUGGCUGCCCGCGCAGCGCUCUGGAAAGGAAGAGUUCCUCAGACAGCCCUCAGAUAGGCUGGCAAGUCACAUAAAUAGUAAAUACGUGGCUCUGAGAGUUGAAGUUUCCCUGGGAAGCCUGAAUCUCUAGUUCUGUAACGGCUCGGCUAUCAAACGGAUGAUUUACAUCUUAUUAGGUGUUUCCAUCUGCUGAUAGAAAAAUGCUCCGUUGCGCAAUGUUCCUUUUGCUCUGAUCGAGUUCUCACCGUUGCCAGCAGCGCUCUGCAGCCCCCGGCUCGGUGCUGGUGGCACACGGGGGUGCUCGGUCCCGUGGGCGAGCUGGGGGGGCAGCACCCAGGGCUGUGGAGGAGCCGCCUGCGCCCCAGGGGCAGCGUCAGCCGACAGCACCCACCUCGGGGCUCAGCACCCACCUCGGGGCUCAGCGCCCACUGGGCUUGCUGCCACCCAUUUCUCCCAGGGUUUUUUUUUUUCCAGGCUUGGAUGCAAAUCUCCAUCGCUCCUGGUUGAGCACAUGCCAGUUGGUGCAGUUCUGGCCGUGCUCACCCAAAGGCCGGUGUCUGUCUGUCUGUCUUGCAGCCGGAGCUCUGUGCUGCAGCUGGUGGCAGAAGCUCCAACUUGGGGUGCGCAGAGCGCGCCGCUGCCUUGCUCUCCUUUGGUGCCUGUUCCACUUCCCAGGCUGUGUGUGGGUGCUCUGCCUCCGGAGGAUGAGCCGAGGAGCCCACAGACCCCAAAAUAAUUCAUUUGUCCAUUGGUACAGGUUCGCAUCUCCAAAGAACCCCGAAAAGUAUAAUGGCUCCAAAGCAUCCCAGGACGCGUUGCUCUGCGGCAGUCCCUGGGAGUACACUCCCCUCACACAUCAAACAAAGAGCCUGGAAGCUGCAUUCAACAGGCAAGUAAAGCUGAAUAUUUUAAUCAGCAAAAACAGAGGGGAAGAAUGCUGAGACGAGUGAAGAGAGGAGGGAAAUCCUGGGCUCAGUGCCUGGUUCCUAAUCCCUGAACUGUCUUACUCCAGCAUUGUGAAAGCCAGGAGGAAUAAACCUAAUACCAUAGCUUCUUGCCAUCAAGAAACCGUGUAUUAAUACAGAACUGCUAAGGUAAUUAACCAAAUCAGACUUGGUCCAGUGCUGAAAAGGAUUUCUUCCCCCAGGGAUGGGCAGAUGUCUCAAUCUAAUUAUACAAGUUAUUUAAUCAGAAUCAGAGGUCGGGUAUCUAAUGAAAAUACUACCGAACGCGGAGGCAGAGGGGGGGCACGAGCUUCCCAACUGGCAGCGCUUCUACAGCUCUCCUGCCUCGUUUCUGUACACAGCUUUAGCAAGAUCUCCAGGUAGGAAUUUGAAACAACAACAACAACAAAAAAAAAAAGCUAGUGAAAAGAACAUGUGCUAGCAAAAGUUUGUUUCGCUGCCUGGUGUGAAAAGAAAAUUCUUUGGUAAAUGUCAUCAGCGCUUCGCCUACCCGCAGUGCUGCCCUAGGAGCAAGGAGCUGCCUUGUGUCUCAGGUGGUUGAUAGCUCUGUUACCAUUUUGUUAGCCUUGGUUUACCCAGGUAAAACCCCUAGCAGGUGCCUGCAGCCUGCCGAUGGCCCUGUACGUGUGUGGUUGGCAGCGGCUGGGAAGCGCUGGCUUGCAGGAAGGGUACACACCGCGUCCUCGCUGAUGGGCAGAGCCCUGGACUUACAUGAUCCACAGGUGCCCACCAACCUUUAUAACACUUCCCAGGGGUGAGGGUCUCCUCUUGAUUCCUUCCUGGAGUCUUUGUGUGCAUCACACCAACAGCAGCCCAGCUGGGGACCAGCCUCACUCUGCAUUUCUGGCUCUGCCAUCACAGUGCGCCCCUGGAGCCACACGCAGCCAUGGGGCAGUCAGGAGGGAACGCUGGCCCUGGCUGCUGUACUUGCCUCUGGGCCCUCUGUCCAGAAAGAUCCCAAAGGUUUUGGUUUUACCAGCCAGCUGCAACCUUGCCAGCUUGUCAUUAAUGCUGCUACCUACGAGGUUACCUUCUGCCAUUCUGAUGCAUUGAGAAUUUAAAAUAAUAACUUAUGAUCACGUGGACUAAACGAGGACAGAGAGAAAAUGCUCUUUAGCUGAAGAUCUCCUUCAGUUAUUUAAAUGUGUGUAUUUUCUUGAUUAGUUUCAAUGCAUCUUAACCUUAUACUCUGUCCCGUCUAAAUAAGUCGAUGUGUUUGCUGCGUACAGGUAUGAGGUGCCACGGACAUCUAGAAGAAAUGGGCAGCCUUCACUCACAUUUCUUUCUUCAGAAGCAUGGAGCUGUUGGUAACAGCUCAAGGGAAGAAACAGCGCUUGUGAUCGUGUAGUUGUGAACAAACAGCUUGUGAUAUGCUGCAAGACUCCGUCAAAGAAGGUGGGAGACUUCAGCCUGGGAAGGUGGGGAGCGCAGGGGCCAUCUGAGUUCGUGCAGGCUUCAGCUCCGUUCUGUGAGAAUCUGCUCCACUGAGACACGUUGGCAAAGUGUGGGUUCCCUUUGUUCAUGUAGAAAUCUGCUCACAAAAAGCCUUGUGCAAAAAUGGCCUGCUCUUCUUCGAGCACCUACAAAUGGCAAAACUACGAAUUGAGCAUAGAUAUGGGGCUUUUUUUUGCAUAUUUUUUUUCCUGUGAGCUUGUAACUUUGCAGAAACAACUGAAGCUGAGCUGAGGCACUGAAGCCAUUGAAAAUCUGACCCUGAAUAUUAAACAAGCCCCGUGUGAGGUCGUAUUCAUCUAGGGGAUUUAACCAAUUCUGAAUCGCCAAACCACCAUCCCCUGAAAGAGAAUUUACUAGACAAUAGGAAAGGGAUUGACAGAGAAAGGAAUAAAGAUGAAAUGUGAUGUCUGCCUAACCUAUUUUUCUUCACUUCCAUACCCAUCACGUAUCCUGAGCUCUUUAACCAGCCCCUUAAUGAGAACUCUUCUCUGGUUUUGUGUCCCUAAGUGACCAGAGCACCGUCUGCUGCGGGCUCUCCCCCUUCCCACCCUGCUGCCCUUCAGCUGGGAAGCACCGACGUGGCUGGGAACAGCUUCAGCAGGGCACUGGGAAGCGGUGACCCUAAUAAGAAGGAACGGGACGAGAAGUGUUGGGAGCAGGAGUCGGAGCGAGGAGGUGACACAUCACCGCGCCGUGACUCAGGAGAAAGGCCAGGUCCCGAGGGCCUGUUGACUGCAGUGGGAGUUUGUUGGCCCACGGUGCAGCUCAACAAAAUACAAGAAAUACGAGCUGUGGCACAGAUCGGAGCUCAGAUGAGACGGUCCUGUAACCAGUCUGAGGAGUGCUGGGCCCUCGCCAGCGAGCUACUUGCAACACACGAGGAACAAAGAGAAAUUUGACUUUGAACUGGGCUGUCCUAUAUCCAGAAGAACUGUUGCGUUUUUUUGUGUGCUGUACAAAUAAUGCACUGCUUGUAUCACUGUGCCUAUUCCCCACCAAAUACCUGGGUUAUCUACCUGUGAAUUAACAAAACAGGUGUGUGUGCACUGUAGGGUGCGUGGCAUUGUGGCAUCAGACCUCAUUUGAUGCCAUUUAAUGGCAUCUCACUUGUUCUGGAAACAAGCAGGAUCUGCUCCUGCCCUGUCAGCUGUGGAGUCCCGCACGACACGGCCAGCCUGCUUUUGGAAGCUCCAACUUCUUUGAAGCAAAUAGUUCCUUAAGGGGAGGUUGAGGAGCAGUUCUUGCCUCAGAUUUGCCUGCUUACAGGCAGCCUUGUGGAGCUGGGACAGUCCCUGCUCGGGGAGAUUUCUGGGAACACAGCAGCGAGCGCCAGGACCGAGCAGGGAUCUGUCAUUGCGGAUCUGGAAAGAGUUAAUGAAAGCAGAGCUUGUCUGGCCAAGGGGCUGGUGCGGCUCCAGCAGAGCAGUGACUCACCGAUAGAGCAUCCUGCCAAAGCACCCAGCGAGCUCCUCAUCCUCAGAUCCUCCUCUCCAAACAUAAUAGUGUGAAUUGGUCCAGCAUCAUGGCUAGGAAGCCCGACUGAACCCGGUCUGUACCUCACCAGCCACCAGGACUGUGACGUUCCCGUGUCACCAAACGACCCCCGUGGCAUUUCACUCCUACACAACGGACGGCUGCUCAUCAGACUAAAAUUAAAGCAGGUAACAAAUCAAUAUCCCAAACCCGCACUGCUUUUGGACAAUCAGCAUUUCAGGGCCGGCUUGUUUGCCACAGCGAGGCACGGCUCUUCUUUAUUCAAACCCUCCAGCGGCAUUAACAUGCUCGGUGCGGAUCCCUGCCCUGUCAUACUUCUUAUCUCAAGGACAGCACCUCCGACAGCAAAAUGCCCCAUCCAUCACGUGGGAAUAUUAGCAAGCGUCCGGUCCUCUCGAGGAUGAAUAAAACCCGGGGCCCGCUGGCUCCACGCCAAGCCGACCGCUUCCGAAAGCUGCCGCGGCCCUCCCAGGCCAUUCAUGCAGCCGAGCUGUUUCUUUAGGGCAGCGGGCACACGUGAUUAAGCGAGGGGAUAUUUAGGGGGGAAACAACAACUCAAGAAGCCAAAAGGGACUCAUCGUGUGUGCCCAAAAUCACACCGAGCCCCCCGCAGAGCCGUGCGUGCGCUCCUGGGUGUGUGCACGGGGCCGGGAUGCCGUCCCGGUGCCCCGCUGGGCACGGGGCUCUUGGUGCUCGUGUGGCUGUGUGCAUCCUGCGUUCUGCUUGCCUUUGUUUUGGUUGGUGCUUCUAAUCCCCCGGGGCAUAUCUCUGAGCUGAGGAACUUUAGAGCUGAUACAGCUUUUUAAAGUGGGGAUUAUGUAAAUGCAUAUUACGGGGCUUUCAUAAAUAGGGAUUAUUUGUCGACUGCAUUUGAGUGCUUCCUUUGGAGCCAUUAAGGUCUGU
Molecule: non-coding RNA, 7160 nt
Organism: Anas platyrhynchos (mallard)
Lineage: Eukaryota; Metazoa; Chordata; Aves; Anseriformes; Anatidae
Source: RefSeq, a predicted model, not a curated record